RNAcentral lists this ribosomal RNA (505 nucleotides) under Lasiodiplodia theobromae. RNAcentral's name for it is "eukaryotic LSU rRNA". The stretch from base 151 to 304 matches the Rfam family "5.8S ribosomal RNA". The record is from RNAcentral. Lineage: Eukaryota; Fungi; Ascomycota; Dothideomycetes; Botryosphaeriales; Botryosphaeriaceae.
GGAAGGAUCAUUACCGAGUUUUCGAGCUCCGGCUCGACUCUCCCACCCUUUGUGAACGUACCUCUGUUGCUUUGGCGGCUCCGGCCGCCAAAGGACCUUCAAACUCCAGUCAGUAAACGCAGACGUCUGAUAAACAAGUUAAUAAACUAAAACUUUCAACAACGGAUCUCUUGGUUCUGGCAUCGAUGAAGAACGCAGCGAAAUGCGAUAAGUAAUGUGAAUUGCAGAAUUCAGUGAAUCAUCGAAUCUUUGAACGCACAUUGCGCCCCUUGGUAUUCCGGGGGGCAUGCCUGUUCGAGCGUCAUUACAACCCUCAAGCUCUGCUUGGAAUUGGGCACCGUCCUCACUGCGGACGCGCCUCAAAGACCUCGGCGGUGGCUGUUCAGCCCUCAAGCGUAGUAGAAUACACCUCGCUUUGGAGCGGUUGGCGUCGCCCGCCGGACGAACCUUCUGAACUUUUCUCAAGGUUGACCUCGGAUCAGGUAGGGAUACCCGCUGAACUUAA